UUAAAUAGCAGUCUGGCUAAGAAUCAUGCAAAAUGAUGAAAUAGUGAUACACACUGUAUCACAGAAAUCCACCAUACUUUUUGUUUUGAAAGAUCUUGUGAAGUAAGAUCUAAAUUUGUAAUAUUAAACCAUUGAACACAGUAUAUUUUUCUUGGUGCUUUAUUGAAUAUUGGGAAAAUAUGAACUUUCCCCACUUAUUGCAGUAUAAGAAUUUCACUAUUUUCUCCUAAGACCGGAUGUU
This 241-nucleotide long non-coding RNA is filed under the name Mytilus galloprovincialis (Mediterranean mussel). The record is from RNAcentral. Lineage: Eukaryota; Metazoa; Mollusca; Bivalvia; Mytilida; Mytilidae.